RNAcentral lists this ribosomal RNA (448 nucleotides) under uncultured bacterium. Its description in RNAcentral is "bacterial SSU rRNA". It matches the Rfam family "Bacterial small subunit ribosomal RNA", at positions 329 to 795 of the family's 1533-position model. The record is from RNAcentral.
UGCCAGACUCCUACGGGAGGCAGCAGUAAGGGAUAUUGGUCAAUGGGGGAAACCCUGAACCAGCAACGCCGCGUGAGGGAAGACGGUUUUCGGAUUGUAAACCUCUGUCCUCUGUGAAGAUGAUGACGGUAGCAGAGGAGGAAGCUCCGGCUAACUACGUGCCAGCAGCCGCGGUAAUACGUAGGGAGCGAGCGUUGUCCGGAUUUACUGGGUGUAAAGGGUGCGUAGGCGGGCGAGAAAGUUGAAUGUUAAAUCUACCGGCUUAACUGGUAGCUGCGUUCAAAACUUCUUGUCUUGAGUGAAGUAGAGGCAGGCGGAAUUCCUAGUGUAGCGGUGAAAUGCGUAGAUAUUAGGAGGAACACCAGUGGCGAAGGCGGCCUGCUGGGCUUUAACUGACGCUGAGGCUCGAAAGCGUGGGGAGCAAACAGGAUUAGAUACCCCUGUAGCA